RNAcentral lists this ribosomal RNA (443 nucleotides) under uncultured bacterium. Its description in RNAcentral is "partial 16S ribosomal RNA". It matches the Rfam family "Bacterial small subunit ribosomal RNA", at positions 338 to 795 of the family's 1533-position model. The record is from RNAcentral.
CCUACGGGUGGCAGCAGUGGGGAAUAUUGGGCAAUGGGCGCAAGCCUGACGCAGCAACGCCGCGUGAAGGAAGAAGGCUUUCGGGUUGUAAACUUCUUUUCUGAGGGACGAAGAUGGUGACGGUUCCUCAGGAAUCCGCCACGGCUAACUACGUGCCAGCAGCCGCGGUAAUACGUAGGUGGCAAGCGUUAUCCGGAUUUAUUGGGUGUAAAGGGCGAGUAGGCGGGAAAGCAAGUCAGAUGUGAAAACUCAGGGCUCAACCCUGAGCCUGCAUUUGAAACUGUUUUUCUUGAGUGCAGGAGAGGCAAUUGGAAUUCCGUGUGUAGCGGUGAAAUGCGUAGAUAUACGGAGGAACACCAGUGGCGAAGGCGGAUUGCUGGACAGUAACUGACGCUGAGGCGCGAAAGCGUAGGGAGCAAACAGGAUUAGAUACCCCUGUAGUC